UUUCAUGAUGAGAGUAAUUUGCGAUUGAUUCCACCUGGUGGCCGGCUCGCCUGCUGUGCUAUACCUUGUGGUUAAGUGAUAGUCACUUCUUACAUAUUCUGAAC
Non-coding RNA from Diaporthe helianthi, 104 nucleotides. The record is from Rfam. Lineage: Eukaryota; Fungi; Ascomycota; Sordariomycetes; Diaporthales; Diaporthaceae.